CAAUUGUGUUCUUGUAUCUCUUCCAUGUCGUGAGAGAGGGAGGGAGGGAGGGAGAGGGAGGGAGAAAGUGGGGAGAGGGAGAGAAAGAGAGAGAGAGAGAGAGAGAGAGAGAGAGACACAGAGAGACAGAGAGAGCGAGAGAGAGAGCGAGAGAGAGAGCGAGAGAGAGAGACAGAGAGAGCGAGAGAGAGAGACAGAGAGAGCGAGAGAGAGAGCGAGAGAGCGAGAGAGCGAGAGAGCGAGAGAGAGAGCGAGAGAGAGAGAGAGCGAGAGAGCGAGAGAGCGAGAGAGAGAGAGAGAGAGAGAGCGAGAGAGAGAGAGAGAGAGACAGAGAGAGACCCUCAUUCGUGUAUAUUUGUAAUAGACAAAGCUCAGCUUAGAGUUCAGAACAAGGACGUGCCUGCACGACGGAGAGAACAAUGGCAACAAAAACAAGAGCAAAGAUGGUGGUGAGGUGCCCGGGUGGACCCUGCCUCUGCUGUGGGAGCCUCCAGCUGUGCUCCGGGGAAAAAAGGGGGACACGCGUAUUGGAGGCUUUUCACCAAGGAGCACAGAGAGAAAGGGAGGGAGAGAGAGAGAGACCCACCUUCCUCCUCCUCCUGCUGCUUGUCGUCCCCUCUUCCUCACCCCGAGAAAGGGGCCCGAGGUGA
RNAcentral lists this long non-coding RNA (650 nucleotides) under Cottoperca gobio. Its description in RNAcentral is "lncRNA (ENSCGOG00000005469.1)". The record is from RNAcentral. Lineage: Eukaryota; Metazoa; Chordata; Actinopteri; Perciformes; Bovichtidae.